Oncorhynchus tshawytscha (Chinook salmon) is the source of this 303-nucleotide long non-coding RNA. Lineage: Eukaryota; Metazoa; Chordata; Actinopteri; Salmoniformes; Salmonidae. The record is from Ensembl.
ACAUGCACCUACCCCACUACCACUGCUCUGUUGCUGAUAACUGGGAUGAAUGCAGGAGCAGAUUUCCGGAGCAGCACAAGAGACCCUCUUUGUGACUGAUGACUGACAAUAAGGGCAUGUGGCGAACCUGUUUUGUUCUUUUGUAGUUUUGCAUAGUUUUCACUGUCAUUCACACACACAGAUUCACGCAUCAUGCCCUUUACAUACACCUUACAUUAUGAUACUUCCACACCUCAUUCCUUUUUCUUAGUUUAAAGUUAAUAGUUUUGUUUACAAUAAAGAACAUUUUUUAAUUGGCCUAUA